This 8850-nucleotide long non-coding RNA is filed under the name Olea europaea (common olive). RNAcentral describes it as "long non-coding RNA (OEUR_LNC005373)". Lineage: Eukaryota; Viridiplantae; Streptophyta; Magnoliopsida; Lamiales; Oleaceae. The record is from RNAcentral.
UUUUCUCUCUAUCUCUCUUGGUCUCUCUCUCUCUUUUUCUCUCUUUUUCUUCUUUUAGCUUUAUUUUCUUUUGUUAAUUUUAGUUUUAUUUUGGGAAUCAAGUGGAUAUAGCAAGGAGAUCAUUAAGGAAAGCUUGAAGAAUACAUUGAAGGAAUUACAAUUCGUAUUUAAAAGGGUUUUAUCUCAACUUUUGUAUUCCUUUCAUUUAGUUCUUCAUGUUUGUAAUGAUAUGUUUAUGAGAAUCUCUUUGUUAUUUUGUUAGAAUGAUGAACUAAACAAGUUUAUGUUGGAAUUUAUGUAUUAGCUUAACCUAUUUUCAUUAAUAUCGUAUUAUAUGUUGUUAGAUAUGCAUUUGUUAUCAAAAUAUUGGUGUAUUAAUUAUCAUGUUUAAGAUUACUACAUUUAUUUGACGUCAAUAGAUGUUGUGGUUAGGUAGUUGCGUAAUUAUUGAAAAAUAGUUGACAUAAUGGACCGAAAUAAUUAAUACCAUAGGUUUGUAUGGUUUCGACUAUAUGCGUUUAGGUAUCCAGACAUAUAUACCUACCCUAUGUGACCCAUUGAGUUAUUUUCACAAAAAUUGAAUGCAGUUGUUUGGUUUAGAACGACAUAGAAAUAUGUUAAUACCAAGCAAUUAGGGUUGGUAUCGCUCGACAGAGGUUAUUGACUAAUUUUGGAAAAUCGGGUCUAACCACAUAUUUUGGUAAUUUGCAUCGACGCAUAAUUGGCUUGAAAAGGGUUAAGCGAAAUCAUAAAUUCCAACAUCUUUUAAAAUCAAACUUUUCCACUUUUUAAGUAUUUUAAAUCAAAAUCGAGUUUUCGCCUUUUUAUAGUUUUUAAAAUCGAACUUUUAAAUGUGUGUAUCUUUUUCGUUAAUUUGAAACAAAUACACUCGUAAUUGAAAACAACACUCUCUGAGGGAUCGACUGGGACUUAAAAGGUCCAUUAUACUACUUGAUCGCGACCCGUGCACUUGCGGCUGCCAUUUAAUAUCGAUCAAGUUUUUGGCGCCGUUGCCGGGGAGUGUUUUUAUCAAAUUACCAGCUAAUUUGUCAAUCACUUUAACGAACUUUACUUUUUGUUUUAAAUUCCCCCUUUUAAAUCCAAAAGUUACUUUGUCUUCGUUUUUAUCAAAUUCCUAACUCGUUCAUUGUUUAUGCAUCGUUCGCGAAGUCUCAAUCUUCUAGAAUUUGAUCCUGAAAUCGAAGGGACUUUUCGAAAGAGGCUUAGAGAACAAAACGAGUUGAAAAGACAACAACGAGACAUGGAGCAUCAAGAAGGUCAUCUGGACCCUCUUGUUCGACAUGAACAAGCUCCUCGGGCUGGUGUGCCGCCUGGUUUUGAUAAUCAAGCGGGCAGGGUUCAAAAUCCUGUAGUCAAUGAGGAAGAUAUGUUGUUUAGGGAUUUUCUAAACCGCCCUGUCGUUGAGAACCAAGCGGGUAUCAUAUACCCAUCAUAUGGACAUCCUAACUUUCAACUACGACCUCCAAUUCUUUAUUAUUCUAUGGUAGAAUAGAUGAAAACCCACACGCUCACAUCGCGAGAUUCAUGGAAAUUGUUAGCAAUUUCACAUAUGAAGGUGUGAAUGAUGAGGUUAUAAGAAUGAGGUUAUUCGUGCAUACUCUGAAAGAUAAGGCAAGAGAGUGGAUUGACACUCUACCUUCGAGGAGUAUCACGAGUUGGUAUAAAAAUUCACUACUAAAUUUUUCCCACCUGCUCGUGUGGCCAAGUUAAAGCACAAUAUAACCACUUUCCAACAACUUGACUCUAAAACCUUUCACGAGGCUUGGGAGAGGUUCAAGGACAUGCUAAGAAAGUGCCCAAACAAUGGGAUUACUUUACCACAACAAGUCCAGUACUUCUACGUCGGGUUAACUCCUUCUCACCGCUCAAAUGUUGACUCAUCGUCAAACGGAUCUAUCCAAAACAAAAGUAUCCGAGAGGUGUAUGAGCUAUUUGAGGUGAUGAGUGAACAGAGUGCCAUGUGGCCAGAUAGACGUGCUAAAGUGGGAGUUAGUGGCGCUCGAGAGAGUGAAGCAUACUCUCUUAUGUUAUCAAAGAUUGACUUUCUAGUACGAAAAGUAGAAGGACUUUCUACUUCGUCAUCUGGCUCUCAUUCAGCUCAUAUGGUCCAAUCCCCACUGGUCUAUGAAAUGUGCGGAGCUAAUCAUUUGAGUUCAAGUUGUCCGUUGAUUGCCAGUAGUUCGGGAUCCACCGAGCAAUUGGCAUAUACACAAAAUUCUCAACGCCCUGGGUACAAUCCUUACGCUCAAACUUAUAACCCUGGAUGGCGUAAUCAUCCUAACUUCUCUUAUGGGAAUAACCAGAAUGUGUUAAAUCCUAAACCACAAGAGAAGAAAGAAGGUUGGGAAGAGGCCAUUGCUAAGUUAGCAAAUCAUCAAUUGCAAUACCAAGAACGCAAUGAUGCCUCGUUGAAAAAUUUGGAAAGGCAGGUGGGCCAGAUUGCAAAACUUUUCUCUGAGAGGCCUCAAGGGGCUUUACCUAGUAACACUGAAACAAAUGCCAGAGAGAAUGCAAAGGCCAUUAUUACUAGGAGUGGGAUUCAAUUGCCUGAACCCACGGUAGUACAGCGAAAGGCUCGAGCUGACAAAGAACCAGUCGUUGAAAAUGAGGUGGUGCAAGCACCUAAAGAGGUUGUUGAAGAAGGUAAGACUGAUGAACAGGAGCCAUUAACAUUAAAGACUCCAAUUCCAGUUAAAGCCUAUGUACCUCCUAUUCCUUUUCCUCAAAGGCUCCAGAAGCAUAAACUGGAUAUUCAAUUUGGUAAGUUUUUGGAGGUGUUUAAAAAGCUACACAUUAACAUUCCGUUUGCAGAUGCUCUGGCUCAAAUGCCGAGUUAUGCGAAGUUCAUGAAAGAUAUCCUUUCUAACAAAAGGAAACUUGAAGAGCAUGAAACGGUGAUGUUGACGGAAGAGUGUAGCUUCAUUCUCCAGAACAAAUUGCCUUCUAAAAUCAAAGAUCCAGGGAGCUUUACUAUUCCAUGUGCUAUUGGGGAUCUUAAUUUUACUAAAGCUUUGUGUGAUCUCGGAGCGAGCAUUAACUUAAUGCUCUUGUCUAUUUUUGAAAAGUUGGGAAUGGGAGAAGCAAAGGCUACUACGGUAUCAUUGCAAUUGGCCGAUCGGUCAAUUAAAUAUCCUCGAGGUGUGGUUGAGGAUGUCUUGGUAAGAGUGGAUAAGUUCAUCUUCCGUGCUGAUUUCAUUAUACUUGACAUGGAAGAAGAUAAUGAUAUCCCUAUCAUUCUGGGACAACCAUUUCUUGCCACCGACCGAGCCUUGAUUGACGUGCAGGAGGGUAAACUCAUUUUAAGGGUACAAGAUGAGCAAGUCACUUUUAACAUCUUGAAAUCCAUAAAGUACCCGUCAGAACUAGAUAACUGUUUUCAGGUGGAUAUAAUUGAUCAUUUGGUUGCCGACUCUCUUUAUGGGAGUUCUGACGACACUCUUGAGAGAUGCCUAGUAAGUUCUUCUGAUAUAAGUGAUGGUGACCCCGAUGUUGAAGGUAUGAUAAAGUACUUGGAAGCUACACCUUUUCGCACCUUCAAGAGGGUACCAUAUUAUGAGGAGUUGGAAAAGACAUCUUCAAUACCUCUUCCAUCUUAUCAAAAAGCCCCUACGCUUGAUUUAAAAACACUUCCACCUCAUUUGAGGUACGCCUAUUUAGGAGAAUCAUCCACACUUCCAGUGAUCAUCUCCAAUUCCUUAACCGAUCUAGAAGUAGAGAAGCUACUUCGAGUCUUGCGAGAAUAUAAGGAAGCAAUUGGAUGGACGAUAAAUGAUAUUCGGGAAAUCAGUCCGUCAUUUUGUAUGCACAAAAUACUGAUGGAGAAUGACUUUAAGCCAUCAGUCGAGCAUCAAAGGUGGUUAAAUCCGAAUAUGAAGGAAGUGGUGAGAGCGAAAGUUGUUAAAUUACUUGAUGCAGGCAUUAUCUAUCCCAUUUCUGAUAGUCCAUGGGUAAGUCCUGUUCAAGUUGUACCUAAGAAAGGAGGCAUAACGGUAGUGAAAAAUGAGGACAAUGAUCUCAUACCCACUAGACCGGUGACUGGUUGGCGAGUGUGUAUUGACUACCGCAAGUUAAAUACUGCAACUAGAAAGGAUCACUUCCCUCUUCCUUUCAUAGAUCAAAUGCUAGAGUGGUUGGCAUGGUAUUCACAUUAUUGUUUUCUUGAUGGGUAUUCGGGCUAUAAUCAAAUUCCAAUAGCUCUGGAAGAUCAAGAGAAAACAACAUUUACAUGCCCGUACGGUACUUUUGCGUACAGGAGAAUGCCCUUUGGCCUGUGCAAUGCACCUGCUACGUUCCAAAGGUGUAUGAUGGCGAUUUUCUCCGACAUGGUGGAGAAAAGUAUUGAGAUUUUUAUGGAUGAUUUUUCAGUUUUCGGUGCCUCAUUUAAUAGAUGCCUUAACAAUUCAAAAUUGGUACUUAGACGAUGUAAAGAGACCAAUUUGGUUCUAAAUUGGGAAAAGUGUCAUUUCAUGGUCAAAGAAGGCAUAGUUCUUUGCCAUCGAAUUUCUCUGAAAGGCAUAGAGGUUGAUAAGGCGAAAAUUCAAGUAAUUGAAAAAUUGCCUCAACCAACUACAGUAAAGGGAAUUCGAAGUUUUCUCGGACAUGCUGGCUUUUACAGGAGGUCUAUUAAAGACUUUUCAAAAAUCACAAAACCUCUUUGUUCCUUGCUUGAAAAGAACACAGUCUUUAAUUUCUCCCAAGAAUGCCUUAAUGCUUUCAAUGCACUGAAGGAAAAGCUUAUCACGGCUCCUAUCAUCGCAGCUCCAGAUUGGAAUCUUCCAUUCGAGCUAAUGUGUGAUGCUAGUGAUUAUGUUGUUGGAGCAGUUCUGGGGCAGAGGAGAGAUAAAGUCCUGCAUGUUAUCUAUUACGCCAGUCGAACUUUGACCGAUGCGUAAUUGAAUUAUGCUACUACUGAAAAGGAGAUGCUAGCAGUAGUAUUUGCAUUUGAUAAAUUUUGGUCAUACCUCAUUGGUUCCAAAGUAAUUGUCUACACUGACCACUCGGCCAUCAAAUAAUUGUUUACAAAGAAAGAUGCCAAGCCGAGGUUGAUCAGAUGGGUACUCCUCUUGCAGGAGUUCGACCUCGAGAUUCAAGAUAAAAAGGGAACUGAAAAUGUCGUUGCUGAUCAUUUAUCUCGUCUCGAGCAACCCGAAGACGUUUUGGAAGGUGAAAUCAAUGAGGUGUUUCCUGAUGAACAACUGUUGCAAAUCAUCCAGAUUUUACAAGCCAAUCAUACACUAUGGUAUGCAGACUAUGUGAACAAUCUUGUUAGUGGCAUCAUACCCCCAGAUCUUUCUUAUCAACAAAGGAAGAAUGUGAAGCAUUACUUCUGGGAAGAUCCUUUGUUAUUCAAACAGGGUCCGGAUCAAAUUAUCCGAAGAUGUGUGCCGGAGGAGGAAAUGGAGAAAAUACUUGAACUAUGUCAUUCUUCUCAAUAUGGUGGUCACUUUGGUGCUAUAAAAACUGCAUCAAAGGUCCUUCAAUCUGGUUUUUAUUGGCCCACCUUAUUUAAGGAUGCUUAUACACUUGUCUCUAAGUGUGAUCGAUGCCAACGGACUGGUAAAAUUUCCAAACGUAAUGAAAUGCUGUUGAAUUCCUUAUUGGAGGUGGAGAUAUUUGAUGUUUGGGGUAUUGAUUUUAUGGGGCCAUUUUCGUCCUCAUUUUCAAAUAAAUACAUAUUGGUGGUUGUAGACUAUGUGUCAAAGUGGGUAGAAGCGGUAGCUUUACCUACUAAUGAUGCUCGGGUGGUAGUAAAUUUUUUGAAGAAAAAUAUUUUCUCGCGCUAUGGCACUCCCCGAGCUAUCAUUAGUGAUGGUGGUAAACAUUUCUGUAAUCGCCUCUUCGACUCACUUUUGACCAAAUAUAGAGUGAAUCAUCGAGUGGCCACUCCCUAUCAUCCCCAAACAAGUGGCCAAGUUGAAAUAUCUAAUCGAGAGUUAAAGAGAAUUCUCGAGUUGACGGUCAAUGCAUCAAGAAAAGAUUGGUCCAAGAAGUUGGACGAUGCAUUGUGGGCAUAUCAGACUACUUUUAAAACGCCGAUUGGUAUGUCUCCAUAUCGGCUUCUAUUUGGAAAAGCAUGUCAUUUACCAGUCGAACUCGAACAUCGGGCCUAUUGGGCUAUCAAAGCCUUGAAUUUUGAUGAAAAAUUGGCCGGUGAGAAGAGAUUGCUCCAACUGAAUGAACUUGACGAAAUCCGCCUUGAUGCAUAUGAGAGUGCACGUCUCUAUAAAGAAAAGAUAAAAAGAUGGCAUGAUCAACACAUUGUGAGGCGGGAGUUCUUUGUCGGGCAACAAGUUCUUCUGUACAAUUCUCGACUCCAGUUAUUCCCUGGAAAACUCCGCUCCAGAUGGUCGGGUCCUUUCACUAUCAUAAAAAUUUUUCCACAUGGAGCGGUUGAGCUUCUUGAUGAAGGAAAGGCGACUUUCAAAGUAAAUGGUCACAGAUUGAAACCAUAUUUGGGAGGUGAUUUUCCUAAUGAAAAAUCUUCCAUUCCUUUCAAAGAUCCGAAAUAAAGAUUCCCUAUAGUCGAGCUAAGGACUAUAACCAAGCGCUUGUUGGGAGGUAGCCCAACUGUUUUAACUCUUGUUUUAUUUAUUUACUUUUAAUGCUUUUAGUUAUUAUAUUGUUGAACUAAUAUAUUUAUUUUGUAGGAAAUUUUUGAUAUCCCAGCCAUUUCUGGAUCUCCCAGGUUCUGGAACAAUUCAUGUGCAAAGAAGUCUUUGAUCCAAGUGACUCAUGAUCAUCAUAAGUCCAGGAAAUGCAUUGGUUCCACUUUACGAAUGGCUAUUCAGGGAAGUUUCCUUAUUCCACUUUACUUUAGCUUGUUAUUUACACAUUGAGGACAAUGUGUGAAUUAAGUUUGGGGGUGAUGAGCCUUGCCGGCUAUUGCUUUGCUAGAUGUUAGAGCCUUGCCGGCUUUCUUUUUGUGUUUGUACAUAUUUUUUGUGUGUUAUAUCGACAUGUUAGGUGAGCCUUGCCGGCUUUGAAAUGCGUGAUGUUGAAAUUGUUCUUGAUUCAUAAGCUAUGCAUGCGUGCCAAAUAUGCUAUUAUGUGUAAAAAUUUUCGAUUCGAAAAUUGCUUAUUCUAUGUGAGAUCUUGAGUUACAUUGAACAUAGUCAUGAUUAAUUAUCAUUUAGAUGUGGAAAUAGCUGUUUGUUGGAAAAUUUUUGAAUUGGUAAGAACUUAGGUUGUGAGUUACCUGAAACAGUGUAUCAACUUAUGUCUUAUUCUCUUUCACUUUACCUUGUACUGUGAGAAAUGUUGAAUUAGCUAGUUUUUAUUUUCAUUGAAGAUGUAGUAACUGAAUAGGGUGAACAAAAAAGCUGGUGAGACUUUGAGCCGAUAGACUGACAUUUAUUACAAUCUCGUCAUUUCUUUUUGGUGUGACAUUAUUCCAUGAUUAUGAUUUUCUAGAACUUGCGUUGCUUCUUUUCAAGAUCACAUUGAUACAUGUAUACAUGAAUAUGAUUAAGGCAAUUUUUGUUACCACUUUAGCCAAAUAGUUUACCAUGAAACUACUCUUUCCUUUGAUAACCCCUUUGAGCCUAUUUGCCUUUUCUUUGGUUUACCCACAUUACAAGCUUUCAUUUCCAGAAAACAACACUCCACAUUACCCUCAAAGCUAGUGGAGUGUUGUUGGUUUUAUUAAAUGUUGGGUGUGAAAGAAAAGAAGUUUGGGGGUAUCAAUAUCAUUUGAGGUGCUAUGUUGGUGUAAAAAAAAAAAAUUGUUUGACAAGGGAAAAUAUGUGGAGGAGACUGAUUUUGAGUGACUAAAUUUAUAAGUUCUCCUGAGAGUUGAAAGAAGAAAAAGGGUGAUUGUGCUGAAUUGAUGAUAAGUAAGAAGUUAUUGAUUGGAGGGAUAGGGUUGUGUACAGAUCCUGUCUAUGUUGAGUUGAGUUGAAUAUCUUUUACUCCACUGAUUUAUUUGAGGCUUCGUAGUCACUUAUCCAAAUGUUUCAACACCUUAACCUUAAGCCACAUUUCAACCCUGAAAAGACCUUAUGAUUUAUGUAAUGCAUGUGAUCUAAGUGGUGAUGAUUGAGAAAAUAUGCAAGCUUAUGGUAGAACAUUUUCAUUGGAAUGAUCUGAGCGAAACAGUACCCAAUCUUAUACACUUGAGAGUGAGUGAUUAUACUAUCUUGCGAGGUUCUACAUGUUCAGUUACUUUAUCUUCAUCUGAUAACGCAUGCUAGUUGAGUAUUUUUGAUCGAUAAAGAAAAGAGUGUUUGAGAGCAACCUUUAGAUUUACACUUGGGAAAUGAAGUGGAAUAUCUGUAUUUGAGUGUGAAUCUUACGAGCGGGAAAGAAUAUAUUUGACCAUUGAGGGUCGGGUUGGUGCUAAUUUAGAAAUUUUACUGUCUUGAUGGUCUUUUCUUAGUUUAGAUGAUGAUUGAAAAUGGUUAUGCACACGCACACUGAUUGAACAUGGGAUAAGCUGUAAUUAUUUUUUAUAGCAUUAUUUGGAAGUAUGGCUGUGAAUUGAUAUACAAUUUUGAACUCUAUGAUAUUUAUGGCAAGGUAUCUAAUAUGUUGAUCAUUUUUGCAUUUGCUUGAUUAUGUUAGAAAUCAAUCUUGCUCGAGACGAGCAAGAGCUCAAGUUUGGGGGUGUGACAAGUGUGUUUUUACACACUUAUUUAGCACUUUUUGGGACUUUAUUAUUGAUAAAAUUGAGUAGAUUUCUAUUUAUAAUUGUGUAAUUGUUACUUUUGUAGGCUAAAACCCCGGAAAGAAGUAUAACGAGCGAAAAGAGAAGGAAAGGACUUGAAGUGCAAUUACGAAAGGGCUUAAAUGUAAUAAAAGUCAAAUUUUGAGGACCAAAUUGCACUAAAUGAA